This 1045-nucleotide ribosomal RNA is filed under the name Dactylellina leptospora. Its description in RNAcentral is "bacterial SSU rRNA". The stretch from base 1 to 646 matches the Rfam family "Eukaryotic small subunit ribosomal RNA", at positions 1149 to 1831 of the family's 1831-position model. Lineage: Eukaryota; Fungi; Ascomycota; Orbiliomycetes; Orbiliales; Orbiliaceae. The record is from RNAcentral.
GGAAUUGACGGAAGGGCACCACCAGAUGUGGCCGUGCGGCUUAAUUUGACUCAACACGGGGAAACUCACCAGGUCCAGACACAUUAAGGAUUGACAGAUUGAGAGCUCUUUCUUGAUUAUGUGGGUGGUGGUGCAUGGCCGUUCUUAGUUGGUGGAGUGAUUUGUCUGCUUAAUUGCGAUAACGAACGAGACCUUAACCUGCUAAAUAGCCAGGCUAACAACAGUUGGUCGCCGGCUUCUUAGAGGGACUAUCGGCUCAAGCCGAUGGAAGUUUGAGGCAAUAACAGGUCUGUGAUGCCCUUAGAUGUUCUGGGCCGCACGCGCGCUACACUGACAGAGCCAACGAGUAUAAACCUUGUCCGAAAGGUCUGGGUAAUCUUGUUAAACUCUGUCGUGCUGGGGAUAGGGCAUUGCAAUUAUUGCCCUUCAACGAGGAAUAUCUAGUAAGCGCAAGUCAUCAGCUUGCGUUGAUUACGUCCCUGCCCUUUGUACACACCGCCCGUCGCUACUACCGAUUGAAUGGCUCAGUGAGGCCCUCGGACUGGCUCAGGGAGGUCGGCAACGACCACCCAGAGCCGGAAAGUUGGUCAAACUUGGUCAUUUAGAGGAAGUAAAAGUCGUAACAAGGUUUGAAGUAUGACCCUUCUGUGGUGACACUUACGAGAAGCCUUUGCGGCCCCGCAAGGGGUACCGGCCGCGACUAUAAAUGAAAGGCAAGCCGGCAUUAAAUCGCAAGUCAGCUCAGCUGGCUACACUUUCGAAUUGCGGGAAACCCCUAAAGCCGACCUCUACCAACUGUUCAGGGAAACCUGGAUGGGGCCUGUGCUAACAUCACAGGGUACGGUAACAAUGAGGAGGAUAUAUGGGCAAUCCGCAGCCAAGUCCCUAAGGCUCUCGAGCUAUGGGAAAGGUUCACAGACUAAGUGGAAGUGGGUUGGGGCGGUUGUAAUCCGCCCCGGCUUAAGAUAUAGUCGGGCUGUCCGCGAGAGCAGACAGGAUGUCACAAAUCAACCGUUCCGUAGGUGAACCUGCGGAAGGAUCAUUA